RNAcentral lists this small RNA (132 nucleotides) under Escherichia coli. Its description in RNAcentral is "RtT sRNA". It matches the Rfam family "RtT RNA". From Rfam's summary of the family: This family represents a bacterial cis-regulatory element known as RtT RNA. The exact function of RtT is unknown although it is thought that it may be involved in changing the cellular response in relation to amino acid starvation. The record is from RNAcentral. Lineage: Bacteria; Pseudomonadati; Pseudomonadota; Gammaproteobacteria; Enterobacterales; Enterobacteriaceae.
AUUCUGCCCAUGCGGGGAAGGAUGAGAAGCUUCGACCAAGGUGCGACUCGAGCGCCAGCAAGAAAGCGUUGCCGCAGGCAACGACCCGAAGGGUGAAGCGCGCAGCGCUGAGUAAUCCUUCCCCCACCACCA